Molecule: ribosomal RNA, 551 nt
Filed under: uncultured fungus
Lineage: Eukaryota; Fungi
Description: SSU rRNA
Rfam family: Eukaryotic small subunit ribosomal RNA
Source: RNAcentral
GUAGUCAUAUGCUUGUCUCAAAGAUUAAGCCAUGCAUGUCUAAGUAUAAGCAUCUAUACUGUGAAACUGCGAAUGGCUCAUUAAAUCAGUUAUCGUUUAUUUGAUAGUACCUUACUACAUGGAUACCUGUGGUAAUUCUAGAGCUAAUACAUGCUAAAAACCUCGACUUCGGAAGGGGUGUAUUUAUUAGAUAAAAAACCAAUGCCCUUCGGGGCUCCUUGGUGAUUCAUAAUAACUUAACGAAUCGCAUGGCCUUGCGCCGGCGAUGGUUCAUUCAAAUUUCUGCCCUAUCAACUUUCGAUGGUAGGAUAGUGGCCUACCAUGGUGGCAACGGGUAACGGGGAAUUAGGGUUCGAUUCCGGAGAGGGAGCCUGAGAAACGGCUACCACAUCCAAGGAAGGCAGCAGGCGCGCAAAUUACCCAAUCCCGACACGGGGAGGUAGUGACAAUAAAUACUGAUACGGGGCUCUUUUGGGUCUCGUAAUUGGAAUGAGUACAAUCUAAAUCCCUUAACGAGGAACAAUUGGAGGGCAAGUCUGGUGCCAGCAGCC